RNAcentral lists this long non-coding RNA (1975 nucleotides) under Junco hyemalis (dark-eyed junco). RNAcentral describes it as "lncRNA (ENSJHYG00000010888.1)". Lineage: Eukaryota; Metazoa; Chordata; Aves; Passeriformes; Passerellidae. The record is from RNAcentral.
AGGUCUGAAUCCGGCGUUGAUCCGGCAUUUUCUCAGUAUUGAUCCAGCAUUGAUCCGGCAUUGAUCUGAUAUUGGUCCAGCAUUGAUCCAGCAUUGAUCUGGCAUUGGUCUAGCCUUGGUUCACUUUUGAGCCAAUAUUGAGCUGGCAUUGAUCCAGCAUUGAUCUGGUAUUGAUCUGGCAGUAAUCCAGCAUUGUUCCGGCAUUGAUCCCGCACUGAUCCAUCAUUGGCUCAGUAUUGAUCCAGCAUUGAACCAGCAUUGAUCCGGCAUUGAUCUCGUAUUGAUGCACUAUCAAACCAGUGUCAGUCUGUCAUUGGCUUAGUAUUGAUGUGGUAUUGAUCCGGCAUUAAUCCAGCAUUGAUCAGGCAUUAAUCCAGCAUUGAUCAGGCAUUGAUCCAGUAUUGAUCCACCAUUGAUCAGGCAUUGAUCUGGCCUCCACCCAGUAUUGAUCCAGCCUCUCUCUGGUGGGGCUGGCACAGGGGGGAUCCCCCCACAUCCCCAGAUUUGGGGUCACUGGGUCGGUGCUCCCCCCGGAUCUGUGGGGCAGAGCUCUGGGGGGCUCUGUGGGGCUGGGGGGUCCCUGUCCCCCCCAAGACACCAGGCAGGAGUUGGGGGGCACAAGAAGCUUUAUUGGAGGCUGGGGGGGAGCUGGGGGGAGACCCCCAAAGGGGGGAGCUGGGCCCCCCAAUGGAGGGGCUGAGCUGGGGAUGGGGGGGCUGCCCUAUAGAUUGUGAGUAUCUGAAUGAGGGGCUGCCCCAUAGCAGGCUUGGGGGCUGCCCCACAGUGGAGUUAGGGGGCUGCCCUAUGGACUGUGCGUAUCUAGAGGAGGGGCUGCCCCAUAGGCUGUGCAUAGCUGGAGUGGGUGGAGGCUGCCCCAUAGCAGGGUCAGGGCUGCCCCAUAGCAGGGUUUGGGAGGGAGUGCCCUGCAGAGGGGUCAGGGGCUGCCCCAUAGCAGGGAUGGGGGCUGCCCCAUAGCAGGUGCAUAGAUGGGAUGGGGGGCUGCCCCAUAGUGGAGGUAGGAGGGUGACCUAUAGACUGUGCGUAUCUAGGGGGGGCUGCCCCAUAGCAGGGAUGGGGGUUGCCCUAUAGGCUGUGCCUAUCUAGCAAUGGGGCGCCGCCCUAUAGGCUGCGCAGAGCUGCAAUGCGUGGGGGGCUGCCCCAUAGCGGAGGUAGAGGGGUGACCUAUAGGCUGUGCGUCUCUAAAGGGGAGGCUGCCCCAUAGCGGGGUCAGGGAGCUGCCCCAGAGUGGAGUUAGGGGGUGCCCUAUAGGCUGUGCAUGGCUGGAGUGGAUGGGGGGCUGCCCCAUAGCAGGGUUUGGGAGGGGGUGCCCUAUAGAGGGGUUGAGGGGCUGCCCCAUAGACUGCGUAUCUAAAGGGGGACUGCCCCAUAGCAGGUGCCCUAUAGGAAGUGCAUAGAUGGGAUGGGGGCUGCCCUAUAGCAGGGUCAGGGCUGCCCCAUAGCGGAGUUAUGGGGGUGCCCUAUGGAUUGUGUGUAGCUAAAGGGGGGCUGCCCCAUAGCAGAGAUGGGGACUGCCCCAUAGCAGAGUCAGGGGCUGCCCCAUAGCAGAGAUGGGGACUGCCCCAUAGCUGGAGUGGAUGGGGGGUGCCCUAUACUGGGGUUGGGGGGCUGCCCCAUAGACUGUGCGUAUCUAGAGGGGGGGCUGCCCCAUAGCAGGGUCAGGGGGCUGCCCCAUAGAGGGGGUGCAGAGCUGGAGUGGGUGGGGGGCUGCCCCAUAGCGGGCUCAGGGGCUGCCCCAUAGCGGGCUCAGGGGCCGCCCCAUAGCGGGCUCAGGGGGCUGCCCCAUAGCGGGCUCAGGGGCUGCCCCAUAGCGGGCUCAGGGGCUGCCCCAUAGCGGGCUCAGGGGCUGCCCUAUGGACUGUGCUUAUCUCUCAAUGUGGGGCUGCCCCAUAGCAGAGCUGGGGGAGCUGCCCCAUAGCAGGGUUUGGAGCUGCCCCAUAGCGGGGUUUGGAGCUGC